GUUCAUUAAGUGGCAGUCCUUAUAUCUCCCACGUACUGCCCAGUGGUCACCAUCCAGUGUCUAGCACUCUCUGCAGCUUGCUUAUGCUUCUCAAAAUAUGGACUUCCUCCUCCUCUCCACCUCAUCCUGCUCUGGCUCCCAUUUCUCCAUCAUGUGGCCAACUGGCAUCCACCGGCAGCAGGAUGAUUCACGCUGGAUGUCAUGCUAUCAGCCUUCUGCACACAGCACCGCAUGUACAGGAUGACAUGGGUCUUUAUGAAAACCUUAAAUUUAUGUGUCAGAGAAGGACAGCAGGCUGAGCAUAGUGUGAGGGAUGUCCCAUACAAACCAGCACCCACUGGAAUCAUAAAAUUGGAAACUAACCAAUGAUCAAGAUCUUAGAACCAAGCAAAGUGAAGUGAAGCGAAGCUAUCAUCUAGUCAAACAGGCAUCCACCAAAUAAAGAUUUUUUUUAAAAAA
Non-coding RNA from Ictidomys tridecemlineatus (thirteen-lined ground squirrel), 459 nucleotides. The record is from RefSeq and is a predicted model, not a curated record. NCBI's taxonomy places the organism in Eukaryota, Metazoa, Chordata, Mammalia, Rodentia, Sciuridae.